This 73-nucleotide transfer RNA is filed under the name Caudoviricetes sp. RNAcentral describes it as "tRNA-Met". It matches the Rfam family "tRNA". From Rfam's summary of the family: Transfer RNA (tRNA) molecules are approximately 80 nucleotides in length. Their secondary structure includes four short double-helical elements and three loops (D, anti-codon, and T loops). Further hydrogen bonds mediate the characteristic L-shaped molecular structure. tRNAs have two regions of fundamental functional importance: the anti-codon, which is responsible for specific mRNA codon recognition, and the 3' end, to which the tRNAs corresponding amino acid is attached (by aminoacyl-tRNA synthetases). tRNAs cope with the degeneracy of the genetic code in two manners: having more than one tRNA (with a specific anti-codon) for a particular amino acid; and 'wobble' base-pairing, i.e. permitting non-standard base-pairing at the 3rd anti-codon position. The record is from RNAcentral. Lineage: Duplodnaviria; Heunggongvirae; Uroviricota; Caudoviricetes.
CGGAACAUAGCUCAGUGGAAGAGCGGAGGACACAUAGUCCUUGACGUCGCUGGUUCGAUCCCAUCUGUUCCGA